Long non-coding RNA from Lethenteron reissneri (Far Eastern brook lamprey), 2727 nucleotides. RefSeq lists it as uncharacterized. NCBI's taxonomy places the organism in Eukaryota, Metazoa, Chordata, Hyperoartia, Petromyzontiformes, Petromyzontidae. The record is from RefSeq and is a predicted model, not a curated record.
GUCGUCGGUUCGAUCCCGACCCUGACGACUGCUGUAUAUUUGGAGUUUGCGUGUCUCGCUCUCUCUCUCUCCCCGUGAUCGCGUGGAUUUUUCUCUGGGUCUUCCAAUUUUUUCCCCGCUCCACAUUUCGAAUCAACGCGCGUUGAGAAUAUUUGGCUGCCACUGCACUCUUCCACGUGAUGAUAAGCCACUUCUUUGAGCUAUUAUUUGUUUAGCCAAGUCGCUUCUGAAAAAAAUAAUAAAAGAAAAACAGUUCAGCUUUUAGUUUAAAUCUGGCCGAGCCUGUGUGGCAAGGGCCCUCACAGGCAAGCCGGACCUGGCACGCGUUAUUCAGCGUUUGGCUGCUGUUGGAUGGUUUUUGUGUGUGUGCGGUGUUGCCAUCGUCACCGUGGCCGCGUUAUUCUGGGAAGCCGCACGCGAGCGCAAAAUUCACCGUGACAAUUUAAGGUCAUUCGGAUUCCCGUUGGGGACCCUUUGAAGUCGAGCCAACACUUGUACCAAGCCUCAGCAGCGCAGUGCCCCGUUUCCUGUCUGCGCCCCACCGGCACUGGCAAGCUGGUGGAGUUGUGGGUGCCGGGCACACUCACAAAGGCCUCAAAGGAUGUCUGAAAGAACUGUUGCGUUGAAUAGCUCCGGCGUAGAACAUUCCAGAUCACAAACGCAACGCGACACGCACCACCACUGUCGUAUUGUGUGGCUCUGAGAUGAUAAUAAUAAUAAUAAGAUAAAGUUUGUCAUUUAUUUAACCAGAAACGCGAUAUUUUUUGGCCAAUUACAGUCUGUUCUCCUAAAUGCUGCGUGUUGUUUUCAUAACGAGCAGUGGAUACAACGCGAUGAAUGUAUUAGGGAACGCAUUUUUUUAACGCGGAUGCGAAUUGGAUUUAACGCGAUCGAGUGAACGGAACGACGUCGCGCGAGUCGGACUAAGCGGCCGUACGCCUGCCUCGGCAUAGCAUCAUCGCACAAGGCAGUGGGAUGCUGCUGGAUGUUUCCAGACGCCACCCACGCGCCCUCAGUCUUUGUUCAGCCCGCGAACGCGUCUCACGUGUUAUCACGGACUGUGCUUUACCCCCUAUAUUGUUUAUUAUUCAUUAUAACGCGAUUUUCCCAAACGCGGCCUUCUGCAGGGACGCCACCACCACGUUAGAGGAGAACGGGCUGCAUUUAAAAUCGUGAUUUGUGUGAGGGAAUGCAUGAAGAGUACCCGCAGGAGAGCCACGGCCCGCCACAGACGGGCUCACGAACCCGCUUGCUGUACUGCUGCCUCCUGGCCUCCUCGCAGACACAUUUGAGUGUCGCGCAAAUCUGAUCCGAAGCGAUCGGCUCCAAAGCGCCGCGCUACGGCCUCUCGCCCAGCCUGCGGUAUUUUAUCACCUGAAGAUGAUUGUUUGUGUUGCGAUCGAAACGUCGUGAUUUUAUUUUUCUAGCUACGAGUAUUCAUGUUUGUUGUUUAUGAGUUCCAGGGGGGUCUUGGGUUCACUAAGCUGAUGCCCUCAGGACGGUUACCCACGGCGCACGGUAUCCAAAUGGCUCUCUUUACGUCUCAACAAACUCCAGCAACACCCACACGGCCAUGGCGAACUCGACAGAGGAAGCCAGCAUCACGGGGCGCAGUCGGGGAUCACGCGCACGCCACUGCAGCAUCGGCAGUUCUGAAGGAAGAGAACCACUCCAUGAUCACAGGACGGCUGGAUGGACUUGGUGUAAAGAAGCUGAUGCUUUGUUUAUUACACUUAUUCUUCUUUAGUGCUGCCUAACGGCGUGUGCGACUUCACGAUGAUAUUGGUCCCGGUCUAGCACGGCGUGUAGAGUUUGUGCUGUUGUUAAUUAGCCAUGUUUUGAUGUUACUGAGCCAUGUCGUUUUUGGCCGUCCUGGUCGUUUUUUACCUUCGAUUUUUCCUUCCAGGAUUUGCUUUAAUAGCUGGUAUUUGUGGUCGUUUCGGGCAAUGUGGCCUAGGUAGUAACACUUCCUGCUAAUGAUGGUCUUCAGCAGUUGCCUGUCAGUGCCCAUAUCUUGCAGAACUUGUGUGUUGGUGGUUUUGGCUGUCCAUGGGAUUUUCAGCAUUCUUCGAUACAGCCACAUCUCGAAAGCUUCGAGCCUUUUUGUUGCUGUUGUUGUCAGUGUCCACGUCUCUACUCCGUACAGCAAAAUUGACCAGAUGUAGCAUUUCAGUGUGCGCAGUUUCAGUGAUGUACUCAAGUUGCGGUCUGCAAGGAGUGUUUUCCAUUUAAUAAAUGCUUGCCUUGCUUGUUCAAUUCUGCUCUUGAUUUCGACUUCAUGGUUCAACUGAUCGUCAAUGAUUACACCAAGGUAUUUAAAUCGGUGUACUUGUUCCAAUUUUUCGCUGCCCAGCUUGAUUGUUGUUUCGCUUGUAGUUCUGCUGACCUUCAUAACCUUUGUUUUCUUUUUGUUAAUUCGUAAACCCCAUAUUUGACUCUCUGCGGCAACCGCGUCCAAGAUUUGUUGCAGGUCUUGUUCCGAAUCGACCAGCAGUGCAGUGUCGUCGGCAUACCUGAUGUUGUUGAUGUAUUGUCCAUUGACUUUAAUACCAAUGUUUUUGUCUGCUCGUGUUCGAUCAAAAAUCUCCUCCGUGUAGAUGUUGAAAAGAAUCGGUGACAGUGGGCAGCCUUGUCGUACACCUUUUUGUAUUGGUGUUAGGUCUGUCAAUUCGUUGUCAUAUCGGAGUUGGGCUGUUUGCUUCCAAUAAAGAGCAAUGAUGAAGUCAA